Molecule: long non-coding RNA, 437 nt
Organism: Oryzias melastigma (Indian medaka)
Lineage: Eukaryota; Metazoa; Chordata; Actinopteri; Beloniformes; Adrianichthyidae
Exons: 4
Source: RefSeq, a predicted model, not a curated record
CUAAUAGGUGCUGCCUGACAUGACACUAGAAGAUUUUGUAAUGAUGGCAGUUUUCCAACUGCUCUGCUCUGGUAUAUAAGAGAGGUCUAACAGCCAGUUCAGCACUGCAGAAACUUCCAGGAUCUUCUCUGACCGUCUGUUGAAGCUGUGUGAUCAGUAAAUCAACCAUGCUGAAGGUAGCAAUUGUGCUGGGAUGUCUUCUGAGCCUCAUUGUGGCUGAACCUAUGGAGCAUCAGCGGUUUGCCCGCUCCAGCUCUGGUUCCAACUCAAAUGAGUCCUCCAACACUUCCGUAAACAAUGUGCUGCUCCAGCUUCUUCUUGCUCUCCUGCAACAAACAACUGCAGCUACGACUACGGCAGCAACAACUACAGCUGCUACCACUGUAGCUACAACCGUUUAAAAUGGAGACAUCUAGUGAAUGAAGAUCAAGCUUUUC